This 417-nucleotide long non-coding RNA is filed under the name Brassica rapa (field mustard). RNAcentral's name for it is "long non-coding RNA (BRAP_LNC007471)". The record is from RNAcentral. Lineage: Eukaryota; Viridiplantae; Streptophyta; Magnoliopsida; Brassicales; Brassicaceae.
AACGGCUCGGUUCUGGUAUGAUAAUUGGUCCCCGUUUGGAAGCUUGGCAUCGGUGCUUAACGUCUCUGUGUCAAGACUAGGAAUCCCAGACAAGGCAACAGUGGCAUCUUUAUUCAGAAGCGGAGCAUGGCGACUACCACCUGCGAGAUCGGAACCUCAAUUACUCCUUCAUACUUUCCUAACAACUGUCUCUCUCUCACAAAAUCCUGACUAUUAUGAAUGGGAGAUUGCAGGUAAAGUAAGCUCAAAAUAUUCAACUGGUCAGACGUACACGUACCUGCGAGGCGAUCUGGAUGAGGUCUCGUGGGCUCCGGCAAUCUGGUUCUCCUAUGGAAUUCCUAGACAGCAAUUCCAUGCUUGGCUUGUUGUACUUGAUAGGUGUCCGACGAGGGAUAGACUCCAAUCUUGGGGUCUCCA